UUUUACAAACAGGGGAGCUUGUGUCAGCAGGCUGAGAGGAAGUAAUCUAACUUCGACCCUUUACCUGAUGCGGGUAAUGCCGCCGUAGGAAGUCAUACUGAGAGAUUC
This 108-nucleotide non-coding RNA is filed under the name Pseudoselenomonas ruminantium. RNAcentral describes it as "Selenomonas ruminantium TPP sequence". It matches the Rfam family "TPP riboswitch aptamer (THI element)". From Rfam's summary of the family: Vitamin B(1) in its active form thiamin pyrophosphate (TPP) is an essential coenzyme that is synthesised by coupling of pyrimidine and thiazole moieties in bacteria. The previously detected thiamin-regulatory element, thi box was extended, resulting in a new, highly conserved RNA secondary structure, the THI element, which is widely distributed in eubacteria and also occurs in some archaea. The record is from Rfam by way of RNAcentral. Lineage: Bacteria; Bacillati; Bacillota; Negativicutes; Selenomonadales; Selenomonadaceae.